This 76-nucleotide transfer RNA is filed under the name Hyphomicrobiales bacterium. Its description in RNAcentral is "tRNA-Asn". It matches the Rfam family "tRNA". From Rfam's summary of the family: Transfer RNA (tRNA) molecules are approximately 80 nucleotides in length. Their secondary structure includes four short double-helical elements and three loops (D, anti-codon, and T loops). Lineage: Bacteria; Pseudomonadati; Pseudomonadota; Alphaproteobacteria; Hyphomicrobiales. The record is from RNAcentral. RNAcentral also lists the same sequence under 4 other names.
UCCCCGGUAGCUCAGUUGGUAGAGCGGUUGACUGUUAAUCAACUUGUCGCUGGUUCGAGUCCGGCCCGGGGAGCCA